GACGAACGCUGGCGGCGUGCUUAACACAUGCGAGUCGAACGGAAAGGCCCUGCUUUUGUGGGGUGCUCGAGUGGCGAACGGGUGAGUAACACGUGAGUAACCUGCCCUUGACUUUGGGAUAACUUCAGGAAACUGGGGCUAAUACCGGAUAGGAGCUCCUGCUGCAUGGUGGGGGGUGGAAAGUUUCGGCGGUUGGGGAUGGACUCGCGGCUUAUCAGCUUGUUGGUGGGGUAGUGGCUUACCAAGGCUUUGACGGGUAGCCGGCCUGGGAGGGUGACCGGCACCAUUGGGCCUGGGAUCCGACCCGGACGCACGAGGGGGCAAGCGGUGGGGACUUUUCCCAAUGGGGCGGAGGCGUGGUGGAGCACCCCCGGGUUGGGAAUGCCGGCUUUUGGGUUGUAAACCGCUUUGGCUUUUGACCAGGCGUGCGUGACGGAAAUGGAGAAAAAACGCCCGCCUACCUCCUG
This 467-nucleotide ribosomal RNA is filed under the name uncultured bacterium. Its description in RNAcentral is "partial 16S ribosomal RNA". It matches the Rfam family "Bacterial small subunit ribosomal RNA", at positions 28 to 507 of the family's 1533-position model. The record is from RNAcentral.